GGAUGUGAGGGCGAUCUGGCUGCAACAUCUGUCACCCCACUGGUCGUCAGGGUUGAUUCAGGUCAUCUGGUUGGCUAGACAGGUGUUCCUUUCCUCCCUCACCACUCCAUGUGCUCCCCUCCCUAAGCUGCGUGCUUGGUUGAAGAGGACGUCCUUCCCCAAAUAGAGACAGACUGGUCUUCGGUUGAGGGUAUACAAGUAGCUGCGCUCCCCUGCUAGAACCUCCAAACAAGCUCUCAAGAAAUGAAUACACGGGCAGUAGUGCAGCGUGUUAAGUGCACAUGGCAGGAAGCGAAAGGACCAACUUAAGGAUCCUGGCCAU
RNAcentral lists this small nuclear RNA (322 nucleotides) under Erinaceus europaeus (western European hedgehog). RNAcentral describes it as "7SK RNA". It matches the Rfam family "7SK RNA". From Rfam's summary of the family: 7SK was discovered as an abundant small nuclear RNA in the mid-70s but a possible function has only recently been suggested. Two independent studies have found that 7SK RNA binds the CDK9/cyclin T complex (known as elongation factor P-TEFb). P-TEFb activates transcription by phosphorylating the C-terminal domain of RNA polymerase II. The record is from Rfam by way of RNAcentral. Lineage: Eukaryota; Metazoa; Chordata; Mammalia; Eulipotyphla; Erinaceidae.